AGAGUUUGAUCCUGGCUCAGAUUGAACGCUGGCGGUAUGCUUUACACACGCAAGUCGAACGGAUUUGGGGGCUUGCUCCCAAGUUAGUGGCGAACGGGUGAGUAAUAUAUCGGAACAUAUCCGGAAGUGGGGGAUAACGUAGCGAAAGUUACGCUAAUACCGCAUAUGCCCUGAGGGGGAAAGGGGGGGAUCGCAAGACCUCUCGCUUUCGGAGUGGCCGAUAUCGGAUUAGCUAGAUGGUGAGGUAAAGGCUCACCAUGGCGACGAUCCGUAGCUGGUCUGAGAGACGACC
RNAcentral lists this ribosomal RNA (292 nucleotides) under uncultured beta proteobacterium. RNAcentral describes it as "partial 16S ribosomal RNA". It matches the Rfam family "Bacterial small subunit ribosomal RNA", at positions 8 to 305 of the family's 1533-position model. The record is from RNAcentral. Lineage: Bacteria; Pseudomonadati; Pseudomonadota; Betaproteobacteria.